UGGGGAAUAUUGCACAAUGGGCGCAAGCCUGAUGCAGCCAUGCCGCGUGUAUGAAGAAGGCCUUCGGGUUGUAAAGUACUUUCAGCGGGGAGGAAGGGAGUAAAGUUAAUACCUUUGCUCAUUGACGUUACCCGCAGAAGAAGCACCUGCUAACUCCGUGCCAGCAGCCGCGGUAAUACGGAGGGUGCAAGCGUUAAUCGGAAUUACUGGGCGUAAAGCGCACGCAGGCGGUUUGUUAAGUCAGAUGUGAAAUCCCCGGGCUCAACCUGGAAACUGCAUCUGAUACUGGCAAGCUUGAGUCUCGUAGAGGGGGGUAGAAUUCCAGGUGUAGCGAUGAAAUGCGUAGAGAUCUGGAGGAAUACCGGUGGCGAAGGCGGCCCCCUGGACGAAGACUGACGCUCAGGUGCGAAAGCGUGGGGAGCAAACAGG
RNAcentral lists this ribosomal RNA (429 nucleotides) under Chloroflexota bacterium. RNAcentral describes it as "Chloroflexi bacterium partial 16S ribosomal RNA". It matches the Rfam family "Bacterial small subunit ribosomal RNA", at positions 355 to 776 of the family's 1533-position model. The record is from RNAcentral. Lineage: Bacteria; Bacillati; Chloroflexota.